This 429-nucleotide ribosomal RNA is filed under the name Chloroflexota bacterium. RNAcentral describes it as "Chloroflexi bacterium partial 16S ribosomal RNA". It matches the Rfam family "Bacterial small subunit ribosomal RNA", at positions 355 to 776 of the family's 1533-position model. The record is from RNAcentral. Lineage: Bacteria; Bacillati; Chloroflexota.
UGGGGAAUAUUGCACAAUUGGCGCAAGCCUGAUGCAGCCAUGCCGCGUGUAUGAAGAAGGCCUUCGGGUUGUAAAGUACUUUCAGUCGGGAGGAAGGUGUCAAGGUUAAUAACCUUGGCAAUUGACGUUACCGACAGAAGAAGCACCGGCUAACUCCGUGCCAGCAGCCGCGGUAAUACGGAGGGUGCAAGCGUUAAUCGGAAUUACUGGGCGUAAAGCGCACGCAGGCGGUUGAUUGAGUCAGAUGUGAAAUCCCCGGGCUUAACCCGGGAAUUGCAUCUGAUACUGGUCAGCUAGAGUCUUGUAGAGGGGGGUAGAAUUCCAUGUGUAGCGGUGAAAUGCGUAGAGAUGUGGAGGAAUACCGGUGGCGAAGACGGCCCCCUGGACAAAGACUGACGCUCAGGUGCGAAAGCGUGGGGAGCAAACAGG